GAUGAAGAACGUAGCGAAAUGCGAUACUUGGUGUGAAUUGCAGAAUCCCGUGAACCAUCGAGUCUUUGAACGCAAGUUGCGCCCGAAGCCAUUAGGCCGAGGGCACGCCUGCCUGGGCAUCACACGUCGUUGCCCCCCCAUCUACUCCUUCGGGAUUGCGGGGGGCGGAUGAUGGCCUCCCGUGCGCCUCGCCGCGCGGUUGGCAUAAAUGCCAAGUCCUCGGCGACGCACGCCACGACAAUCGGUGGUUGCGAAACCUCGGUUGCCCGUCGUGUGCGGUCGUCGCGCAUCGAGGGCUCGAAAAAAUUGCCGGGUUCCGGCUCGGCUUUCAACGCGACCCCAGGUCAGGCGGGGUUACCCGCUGAAUUUAAGCAUAUCAAUAAGCGAGGA
RNAcentral lists this unclassified non-coding RNA (390 nucleotides) under soil metagenome. RNAcentral's name for it is "partial contains 5.8S ribosomal RNA, internal transcribed spacer 2, and large subunit ribosomal RNA". The stretch from base 1 to 122 matches the Rfam family "5.8S ribosomal RNA", at positions 35 to 154 of the family's 154-position model. The record is from RNAcentral.